GUUGGAGGAUUGUCUACAACUUGGUGCCCUGACUGAUACAACAUACAUUUACGAAUGGAGAGGAGCCCAGAGCAGAUUCAUCUUACACAGUGUCAGGUUGUCCAUUUGAAAAUGGGGUAAGAAGAGAAAGAGACAGAAAGAUGAAUUUGGAAGCUAUUGAACUAGUGUAAGUGGGAAAUUCAGAAGGCUUUUUGGCUGGCUAAGGU
Long non-coding RNA from Myotis myotis, 206 nucleotides. RefSeq lists it as uncharacterized. The transcript is spliced from 3 exons. NCBI's taxonomy places the organism in Eukaryota, Metazoa, Chordata, Mammalia, Chiroptera, Vespertilionidae. The record is from RefSeq and is a predicted model, not a curated record.